Molecule: small nuclear RNA, 116 nt
Organism: Homo sapiens (human)
Lineage: Eukaryota; Metazoa; Chordata; Mammalia; Primates; Hominidae
Gene: RNU5D-1
Product: RNA, U5D small nuclear 1
Source: Ensembl
AUGCUCUGGUUUCUCUUCAAAUCGUAUAAAUCUUUCGCCUUUUACUAAAGAUUUCCGUGGAGAGAAACCGUUUUGAGUUUCAAGCAAAUUUUUUGAAGCCCUAUGUUGGUGGGGUU